GCGCCUCCCCCCCGCUCCCUCCCCGCUCGUGACGUCGGCGCGUCCCGCGGCGGCGGCAGGUGGCGGAGCGGCGCGCGCCGGGCCCGGCCCGACCCGACCCUGCGGUAUAAGCUCGACAUUUUUCUCAAAGAAGACCUGGGGUCACUGUUGGAUGGUAGCUCAGGUAGGAGGUCAGCCACUUUGGAGUCAUAAAGCUGCAUGGAAGAGGCUGGCACAACUUCUCCCAGCAAGCGUCCCUGGAGACUUCCAAGGGAACAAAGAGCAGCCAGACACCGCCUGAGCCUCAGCGUGGGAGGAGCUGCUGGCCAGCUGCUGAUGCCAGUGUGCAGAGAAGCUGAAACGCUGCAGUGUACCGUUGGGCAGGACAGACAAGGAAUGAGCCAGCCUUGGGAAAGAGGACCUGCCAUCCUAGCUGGAGCCAUCUGAAGAGAGGACAUCUUAGUCUCGUGGCAUGCGUCAGUAGAAAUUACUCUGAGAAACAUGCGUUCAUAAGAUGUAUAAAGCAGUGGAGGCUUUUACUGUAACACGAGGGAUUUUCUCUUGAGGUAAUGUGUUUUACUAGAAAUAUGUCUAAUACUGGAACAGGCUGUCCAGGGAGGUUGUGAUACCACCAUCCUUGCAGGUUUCAAAAAAGUCAGUUAGACAAAGCCAUGACUGAUCAGAUCUGAUACUGGUGGUAGUGCCAUGUGGAGCUGGAAUCUGGGCUCCUGUGACCUCCAAUGGUCCCUUCUGUCCCACCCUUCUGUGAUGCCUUUGGACGAACUAUUCUCUGCUGUUUGUGCAAAGAGGACUAGUUAUACUGAAAGGCUAUUUUGCUGAGUGUCAGCCCCGUGCUGCCAAAUUCCUUGGAGAUUUAAAAUGAAGAAGGCACAUUUUUAGGCCCCAUUCCCCCAAAGCCCACUCUUCUCCCUCGUUUCGUAUCUAUUGGUUUGUUUUGAUGAGAAUAAAAGAGAACAUAAAAGGAAAAUAACCA
RNAcentral lists this long non-coding RNA (973 nucleotides) under Anas platyrhynchos platyrhynchos (common mallard). RNAcentral describes it as "lncRNA (ENSAPLG00000027687.1)". The record is from RNAcentral. Lineage: Eukaryota; Metazoa; Chordata; Aves; Anseriformes; Anatidae.